GUGUUUGAAUCAGUUUAGAGCAUGGACAAUAUUCAAAGAACUUGAGAUGCUUGCCUAGAAAUGUUAAAGAAAUGUAUUCUGAAUUUCAACAUAGAUUGGCAAGCACACCUGCUUACCUCUUGUUGACUUACCUAUACAGAAAUUAGUAUUCAAAACUGACAAGAUACAUUUUUAUCUUCUAAGGGCACAGCAUGAUUAUCAGUGAAAAUUAGCAAGUCAAACUUUUGGACAAAAGGGAAAUUCAAAGUUUAUGGCAAUACUCUUAGGGUAUUAAGGAUGAUAUACAGAGCCUUUAUUAUUCUUUUAUUUCUCUUUUAGAAAGUCAAGGGAUUGGUAUCAUCACUUCUUUACAGUAUAAGCAAACCUAUAACUUGAGACUACGAACACAGCAAAUAGGCAUUAUCUCUGUUGUUGUUCUUAAUCCCCAAAAGAUGAAAGUGUUAACUAUCAACCCUAGUUCUAAUUAUUUAAGAUGUAGUAAAGAUGAAACUUUGUUAAACAGAGACAGGUAAAAGAAUUUUAUAAAGGAAAACAUAUAAUUAUGUCCCCAAAAGACAAUAAAGAAUUUAUAACAAAACCGUAUGUGGGAAAUAUAUUAAAUUACAUCCUGAAUACAACUUAUCAAACAAAAGAAUGACAUAUUUUUAAAAACAUGCAAUGUGUCACAGAGAAGCUGUGUAAUAGCUUUUUAUUAUCAGCCAUAGUAAUAGUCUAAAGAUUAGAAUCAAGCUGUGAUUUAAGCAUUUAUAUCUUAACAUAGUUAGCAUACACAUCUUACUGUGUCUGGUGUUUUAGUAAUCCGGACGGAGGUGUUGGGUGAGGAAUUACACAUGAUGGUCUUCUCUUACUUAAAGUGUUAAUUUCAGGAAAUUCACUCUCACUGAAGGUUUUCAUAGCAAUCCAUAACUUCAUGAGGCAAAUAUCCAGACGUACAUGCAUUUCAUAGAUCAUGUACCACUUUCUUACAAGGCAUCCAGUUUCCUCUUUUCCCUUCCCCUUCCUAACAAUGCUGCUGAGGCUUGAGUGUCACCAAUGAGUGGCUGCACGUGUGGUUUGGGAAAAAGCAGAUCAGACCCCCAGAAGCAGCCAUGAUUGGCAGGUGCACUGUCGCCCACUUUCCCCAGAAAGCAAUAUCCAUGCCAAUCAUUCAUGGUUCAACAUAAGUUACUGGGAUAUAAACUGUGGUCAGAAAGAAGAUACUAUCCCUGGAAAUAAACCUGCUUAUACAAUCCAUGCUUUCAUUUUUUAAAGGAUGUAGUGAAGAGAAAAUCAUUCUUGCUAUAGUAACACAAGAGGGCACAGUUCAAGGAUGGUAAGAUCUGGUUGUGUCCAUACAGCUAUUAAUUAUACUUGUUUCUUCUUGUGUUAGAAAUUUAAUCACCUUAAUAAAGUCAAAAAUUUUAUUUCUAAAGUGCAGUUCAAUGAUUUCACAAUCCUUUAGGAAAAGUAUCACUAAUCCUCUAAAGAAUGAAGAAAAUUGACUUUAACUACAUUUUGC
RNAcentral lists this long non-coding RNA (1498 nucleotides) under Heterocephalus glaber (naked mole-rat). RNAcentral's name for it is "lncRNA (ENSHGLG00000049497.1)". The record is from RNAcentral. Lineage: Eukaryota; Metazoa; Chordata; Mammalia; Rodentia; Bathyergidae.